UAAAGAGUUUAAAUGUGAAAUCGAAAGUAGAAAGUGCAUGUGUUCAGAUUCUUGUACUUUCCUUAUUCCAAAAGAGAUAAAUAAAUAAAUAGUAAUGACCUUCCAUAGCUGAAAUGUAAGAUGAAUCUCUGAGACUCGUAUAAGAUUAUGUGAAAACACUUUAGGUGUAUAUACUUACAAAAGAAGCAAAGAUGGCAGGAGGUAAGUCACUCAUGUUUCCCAAUAACGGCUUUAAUUAAUACUGUAAAGAGGAAGGAAUGAGAUGCAAUGGACAAAACUUAGAUUUGAACGCAGACCCCUAAAUCUCUAGCGAGGUCCAAAUGCAACGGACCAGACCGGGAUUCGAACCCGGCCCCCCUGAAUCUUUAGUCAGGUGCUCUACCAACUGAGCUAACUGACCACCGCCGAUUGAACCUGGCUGACCGCUACAUUCCUCCCUCCUUAAAUGUCUUCACGUGUGAAGACAUCCUUAAAUGUCUUCACAUGUGAAGACAUCAACUCAGAAUCUUAAUCCCUGGCUGGCUGGCAUUUUCACCUGUCGGUUCCAGGGGCUGGUCUACGGCACCAAAUGUAACAGGAAGGGAGAAAAUGCAACGGACCAGACCGGGAUUCGAACCCGGGCCCCCUGAAUUUCUAGUCAGGUGCUCUACCAACUGAGCUAUCUGGCCACUGGCAAUCAAAACCAGCUGACCGCUACAUUAGCAACAAACAUCUAACCUGACUGACCGUCACAUUUCCCCUCUCAGAAUACACAAUCUCUAUCCUCCUAGCAUGUAAUCUUACACAUGUCAUUUACAGAGCCCCAAGUGUAAAAAAGAUGGAAGAAAAUGUAACAGAACACACAGGGAUUUAAGUUGAUUGGGCACUCAGAAUUUCUUGUCAAUUACUCAAAGACUAAUCAUGACAAAAAACACUGUAAUACAGACUCUGAUGUUAGUUGACUGAAUGCAAUGAGCAUUUAUAUCGAGAUAAAGUUUUGCUUUUCCUCUUUUAGUUAAUAUUCAAGACAGAACACCAACUGAGAAGGAACUCUUAGAAGUGAGUAAACACAUUGGGACCAGUUUCCAGUUAGUGGGAGUGAGUCUUGGAUUAAGCAGCAUUAAAAUCCAACAAAUAAUCAUGAACCAUGGCAACAGCGUGCAGACCCAGAUAUUUCAAAUGCUCAUCACCUGGAAAAACAAGGAGGGGCGACUCGCAACAGUACAGAGAUUGCUACAAGCUGUGAGGGACACUCCAGGCGAUGUUAAUAUCAUGGAGAUAGAAAGACUUUUUAAGUUGUGAUAGAAUUAAGGAGGCGUGACACACUAGAUAAAUCUGGAUGUUAAUAUCGUGGAGAUAUAGAGUUUUUAAUUCAAUGUGAUACAUGUAGAAUUAAGGAGGGAUAACACAUUAGAAAAAUCUAAAUCAUAUCAAAAUCCAAAUGUUCCUAAGCUCUGUAGAUUUUAUUAUGCCCCAUGACUAAAGACUGUUUGGGGGAGGGGCAUAUCAUUUUUUUGUCCUGUCUGUCUGGACCUUGCUUGUAACUUUUGAAUAGCAAGUGAUAGAGUUCUCAUAUCUCAUGUGUAUUCGUUGUGACAAGACUUUCUUGUGGUACCAAAGUGUUUGACUUUAUGUCUUUGACCUACUUUUAAGAAAAUCUAACCGAUAGGCAUUAUCUCUGGAACUAUUAUUUAUAGUUAGGCUUUUAUAUCCAUGUCCCCUGCGGGCCCUGCCCCCUUUCAAAGAAGAGGGGCAUAUUGUUUUGCACCUGUCGGUCAGUAUGUCAGUCGGUUGGUGGACAUGUCCACUCAAUAUCUUGAGAACUAUUCACUUGAUUGUAAUAUUUCAUGUGUAGACUGCCUAUGGUUAGAAGAGGGUCUCUAUUGUUUUUCAGGUAAAAAGGUCAUAGCUUAUGAAUAGUGAGUGAUACAUCUUUCAUAUAUGCAUUCCUGGCGACAGGACCUUUAUUUUUGAUACCAAAGAUUUUGACGUUUGUAACCUUGAUCUUGGAUUCGGACUGACUCUUAAGAAAAGUCUUAACUUAGGCAAUGUCUUCUGAACUGUUUAAGGUAGGGGUUCCAUGUGUUGUAUAAAGAUUCCUUAUUGCGAGACCUUACGUUUUUUAUACUAUGGUUGUUAUACCUUGCGACUUUGUAUCUGACAUAGUUAUGUCAUAUCCCUAUCAGGCUACAUUAGAACCACAAUUUGGAAUGAAAUGUUUUUACGGGGAAAAAAGAUUGCAAAAAAUCAGUAGCUGAAUUACAGCAGAGCUAAGGUGAUUCAUGUGAGCGAUGUGGCCCAUGGGCCUCUUGUUUUCUGCUGAAAUAUAGAUUUGUACACAUUGUUCUUAAUAAAACAUAUUACAAUGAGUCCUCAAUCAAAUAAAGCAAUAUUUAUUUGCCAUGAAGAAUAAAACAAAAACAUAGCAACAAGAACACAUCUUUUGACCACUUAAUACUUUUACUAUAUGUAUAACUUUAUUUUUAGUACUAAUAAACUUGUGUAUAUAAAUUAUCAUACAAAGUGAUGCCAUCAUUUCACAGAUGUAUAUAUUUGAGUUGCAGUGUUUGAAUAUCAUUAAUGUUCCUGAAUAAUUACAAAAAAUUAUUGUCUUUACCAUUUACUGUGUAAUCAACAAAUUUUGUGAAUACUCAAUUUUCUUAGAUUUUAGGGUCUCCCCUGCCAGGAAUCUCAAACCUGAACGAAAUACACAUUUUAUACAAUCUAAUUGAAAUUAGAUGUUAGAUCCACUUGCAUACUCGCUACACAAACAUCUAACAACAUCCCGUAGAGGGUCACGUCAGAGGUCAAAUUCGAUUGACCAAUGAAAUCACCGCUGGCAAAAUCAUUGAAUGUUUGUUGAAUCCGAUAAGUCUAGAGUGAUACCGAAUUUGACCUCUGACGUGACCCUCUAUGGGAUGUUUUUAGAUGUUUGUGGAGCGAGUAUGCGAGCGGAUCCAACAUCUAAUUGUAAUUAGAUUGCAUUUUAUAUAAUGUUCAAUGUAAGGAAACCAUAUCCACAGAAUCACAUCCAAAAAAAAAAAAAAACUCCCAACAAUCCACAAAAUUUGCCCUGUACGAAUUUAACUGAUUCCAGAGUAUACAGGUACUAUAGUUAGUUAUAAAUAUACCCGGUACAAGUACUGUAGUGAAGACUGCCUGAAGUCCUCGUUAUUUUCAUUGUCACUUGCAGUGUAAUCUCUCAUCUUUUGAUACUGUUUGAGUAUGACUAUGAGCAUUUUUGUUCUGUGAUUUGUAUUUUUGAUUUCAUAAAUUUCAUCUACAAUAAACUAGCUAACAAUACAAAAUGAAUACAGUUCAAUUGAAAGCAUAUUGGGUUCACUCCAUUCUACAGGUUCUCCUGAGUUAGUUCUCCUUAAACAUGAUCAACCCUGACUUGUUGACCCCAAUUUCUAUUCCCCCUAGCAA
Molecule: long non-coding RNA, 3408 nt
Organism: Ostrea edulis (European flat oyster)
Lineage: Eukaryota; Metazoa; Mollusca; Bivalvia; Ostreida; Ostreidae
Exons: 2
Source: RefSeq, a predicted model, not a curated record